UUCCAGACUCCUACGGGAGGCAGCAGUGGGGAAUAUUGCACAAUGGGGGAAACCCUGAUGCAGCGACGCCGCGUGAGUGAAGAAGUAUUUCGGUAUGUAAAGCUCUAUCAGCAGGGAAGAAAAUGACGGUACCUGAUUAAGAAGCCCCGGCUAACUACGUGCCAGCAGCCGCGGUAAUACGUAGGGGGCAAGCGUUAUCCGGAUUUACUGGGUGUAAAGGGAGCGUAGACGGUGAUGCAAGUCAGAAGUGAAAGCCCGGGGCUCAACUCCGGGACUGCUUUUGAAACUGUGUAACUGGAGUGCAGGAGAGGUAAGCGGAAUUCCUGGUGUAGCGGUGAAAUGCGUAGAUAUCAGGAGGAACACCAGUGGCGAAGGCGGCUUACUGGACUGUAACUGACGUUGAGGCUCGAAAGCGUGGGGAGCAAACAGGAUUAGAUACCCGCGUAAG
Molecule: ribosomal RNA, 448 nt
Filed under: uncultured bacterium
Lineage: Bacteria
Description: bacterial SSU rRNA
Rfam family: Bacterial small subunit ribosomal RNA
Source: RNAcentral